This 575-nucleotide ribosomal RNA is filed under the name uncultured bacterium. RNAcentral describes it as "bacterial SSU rRNA". It matches the Rfam family "Bacterial small subunit ribosomal RNA", at positions 338 to 916 of the family's 1533-position model. The record is from RNAcentral.
CCUACGGGAGGCAGCAGUAGGGAAUAUUGGGCAAUGGACGAAAGUCUGACCCAGCCACGCCGCGUGCAGGAAGAAGGCCCUCUGGGUUGUAAACUGCUUUUGACUGGGAAGAAAAGACUCCUUGCGAGGAGAGUUGACGGUACCAGUGGAACAAGCCACGGCUAACUACGUGCCAGCAGCCGCGGUAAUACGUAGGUGGCGAGCGUUAUCCGGAUUUAUUGGGUUUAAAGGGUGCGUAGGCGGCUGAUUAAGUCAGCGGUGAAAGGUAGUAGCUUAACUGUUUUACAUGCCGUUGAUACUGGUUAGCUUGAGUUAACAGAAGGCAGAUAGAAUUUCUGGUGUAGCGGUGAAAUGCUUAGAUACCAGGAGGAAUACCGAUUGCGAAGGCAGUCUGCUGCAGUUACACUGACGCUGAGGCACGAAAGUGCGGGGAUCAAACAGGAUUAGAUACCCUGGUAGUCCGCACAGUAAACGAUGAUUACUAGUUGUUGGCGCAAGUCAGUGACCAAGGGAAACCGAUAAGUAAUCCACCUGGGGAGUACGCCGGCAACGGUGAAACUCAAAGGAAUUGACGG